AUUAACAAAAUGUAUGUUGCAACUCCCCAUUUCUCAGAAAUUUCAUGAUUUGACAGUAAUAACUGGAAAUUACAUCAAAUAUUCAGCAUUCCUUAAGAUUCCAGAUUUCCUUUGGAAGAUGAAAUCAAUAACUCAAACAGGUAUAAAGACUUUCAAAACUAGUCAAAACUUUCAAGAAACAUAAUCAAGCAUGGAUAUACCACCCUUCCCCAA
RNAcentral lists this unclassified non-coding RNA (213 nucleotides) under Hevea brasiliensis (rubber tree). The record is from RNAcentral. Lineage: Eukaryota; Viridiplantae; Streptophyta; Magnoliopsida; Malpighiales; Euphorbiaceae.